RNAcentral lists this long non-coding RNA (530 nucleotides) under Gallus gallus (chicken). The record is from RNAcentral. Lineage: Eukaryota; Metazoa; Chordata; Aves; Galliformes; Phasianidae.
GUUUACUUUUUGCGGCCUUUCUAGCAGAGUUAUGGUUUCCUUUAGCACCCUCCAUGCUUCUUAAAACAUUGAUGAAAUCUUUCUUUGAAACGGAGGAUAGCAGUUUAGCACGUUGCCUUUCAGAUCUUGCACCUUUCUUCACCUUCUCGUCAACGUUCUUUUGGUGUGUCCUGACAGCAUUAAAUAACUGCACAACACCUCUUGUGGCAAUUCUCUGAAGAUUUCUCUCUCUGUCUCUGUCUUUGACAACAUCUGGCUUCACUCGGCACAUCAUUUCCCACUCCCUCUUUUUAUCGAGCUUCCUCCUCUUCUCCAGUCUUUCUUGUCUCUCCUUUUCUCUUUCCUUCUCCAGUUUUUUACUCUUGGCCAAGAUGAUGGACUUAUUUUGUGGUAUCUUUUUGUUGAGCACUUUUGCCAUGGCAUCUGCCCAGCCUGAACCUGGACCAGCUUUGGAGUUCGCAGUCUCUUCAGCCACAUGCUCAACAACUGCUGCUUCAUCCUCAUCAUCUCCAUCCAAGGCUUCAUCCCCA